CGGGGCGUGGCGCAGUUUGGUAGCGCGCGUGCUUUGGGAGCAUGAGGCCGCAGGUUCAAGUCCUGUCGCCCCGACCA
The sequence is a transfer RNA, 77 nucleotides long. It matches the Rfam family "tRNA". From Rfam's summary of the family: Transfer RNA (tRNA) molecules are approximately 80 nucleotides in length. Their secondary structure includes four short double-helical elements and three loops (D, anti-codon, and T loops).